Non-coding RNA from Sphaerobolus stellatus SS14, 114 nucleotides. The record is from Rfam. NCBI's taxonomy places the organism in Eukaryota, Fungi, Basidiomycota, Agaricomycetes, Geastrales, Sphaerobolaceae.
UGCCCCAUGGCUUAAUUGGGUAUAGCAUCCGACUGUUACUCAAAAUCGUUCCUCAGUCCGAGAUUCGGUAGCGAAAAAAGCAGAAGGUCGAGAGUUUGAGCUUCUCUGGGGCAG